AUUCACCAUUAUUAUCCAUGUAAACAGUUUAGUUGGAAUAUUCUCUUUUUUAGGAAUAAGGGCAAACCCGAAAUAUAUUGUGCAUGUAAACAUAGUCAGUGAAAUAAUUAAAUACAGC
Etheostoma cragini (Arkansas darter) is the source of this 118-nucleotide long non-coding RNA. RefSeq lists it as uncharacterized. The record is from RefSeq and is a predicted model, not a curated record. Lineage: Eukaryota; Metazoa; Chordata; Actinopteri; Perciformes; Percidae. The transcript has 3 exons.